CAAAGCGAAGGCUGGAGCUGGGU
Molecule: non-coding RNA, 23 nt
Filed under: Cricetulus griseus (Chinese hamster)
Lineage: Eukaryota; Metazoa; Chordata; Mammalia; Rodentia; Cricetidae
Source: RNAcentral